CUACGGGCCGCACCAGUGGGGAAUAUUGGGCAAUGGGCGCAAGCCUGACCCAGCAACGCCGCGUGAGGGAAGAAUGUCUUCGGAUUGUAAACCUCUGUCCUUGGGGACGAAAAAAAUGACGGUACCCAAGGAGGAAGCUCCGGCUAACUACGUGCCAGCAGCCGCGGUAAUACGUAGGGAGCAAGCGUUGUCCGGAAUUAUUGGGCGUAAAGGGUGCGUAGGCGGCGCUGUAAGUCAGAUGUGAAAUCCCCGGGCUUAACUCGGGAGUUGCAUUUGAAACUACAGUGCUUGAGUAAAGAAGGGGUAAGUGGAAUUCCUAGUGUAGCGGUGGAAUGCGUAGAUAUUAGGAGGAACACCAGUGGCGAAGGCAACUUACUGGUCUUUUACUGACGCUGAGGCACGAAAGCGUGGGGAGCAAACAGGAUUAGAUACCCCUGUAGUC
Molecule: ribosomal RNA, 442 nt
Filed under: uncultured bacterium
Lineage: Bacteria
Description: partial 16S ribosomal RNA
Rfam family: Bacterial small subunit ribosomal RNA
Source: RNAcentral